Tachyglossus aculeatus (Australian echidna) is the source of this 138-nucleotide small nucleolar RNA. NCBI's taxonomy places the organism in Eukaryota, Metazoa, Chordata, Mammalia, Monotremata, Tachyglossidae. The record is from RefSeq and is a predicted model, not a curated record.
ACCCUCUCAGAGUCGCAUCUGGAGGGUUUCCAGUACUGUACCAGUCUUGGCUACAAGAAGGAGAGGCAAGCAGAGGUAUACACAUUCCAUUCCUAGCUUGGGCAGUGGCUAGCGAGUGGAAGGCAAUCGGCUACAAGU